Molecule: ribosomal RNA, 546 nt
Filed under: Flavopunctelia flaventior
Lineage: Eukaryota; Fungi; Ascomycota; Lecanoromycetes; Lecanorales; Parmeliaceae
Description: eukaryotic LSU rRNA
Rfam family: 5.8S ribosomal RNA (bases 200-353)
Source: RNAcentral
AAGGAUCAUUACCGAGAGAGGGGCCUCGAGCUCCCGGGGGCUUCGGCCCCCAACGAUUCACCCUUUGUCUACCUACCUUUGUUGCUUUGGCGGACCUCGGGUUCCUUCUCGCGCUGGCCUCCGGGUCGGUGAGCGUCCGUCAGAGGCCCAUUUAAAUUCAAUUUAUCAGUGAUGUCUGAGCGAAAACACAAUUAGUAAAAACUUUCAACAACGGAUCUCUUGGUUCCAGCAUCGAUGAAGAACGCAGCGAAAUGCGAUAAGUAAUGUGAAUUGCAGAAUUCAGUGAAUCAUCGAAUCUUUGAACGCACAUUGCGCCCCUCGGUAUUCCGGGGGGCAUGCCUGUUCGAGCGUCAUUGCACCCCUCAAGCGUAGCUUGGUAUUGGGUCCUCGCCCCUGCGGCGUACCCGAAAAUCAGUGGCGGUCCGGCGUGACUUUAAGCGUAGUAAAUUCUCUCCCGCUUUGAAAGUUCGCGGCGUGAUCGGCCAGACAACCCCAAUCGCUUCAAUAAUUGACCUCGGAUCAGGUAGGGAUACCCGCUGAACUUAA